This 87-nucleotide non-coding RNA is filed under the name Pseudomonas migulae. RNAcentral also lists the same sequence under 1 other name. The record is from RNAcentral. Lineage: Bacteria; Pseudomonadati; Pseudomonadota; Gammaproteobacteria; Pseudomonadales; Pseudomonadaceae.
CAUUAUGGUGGCCAUGCACAGGGCGUCUUCGGGCGCGCCGGUUUCCUCAUAUCCCGGUCUACCAACCUGCGUAUGGCCACCACCCCU